CACGGACACACGGUGUGGCCCGAAACAGCGGCAGGAGAGUGAGACCCGGGCUCCGACCGCGGUGACGGAGUCUCACUCUGUCACCCAGGCUGGAGUGCAGUGGCACGAUCUCGGCUCACUGGAACCUUCAACUCCCUGGUUCAAGCGAUUCUCCUGCCUCAGCCUCCCGAAUAGCUGGGACUACAGGUGCCCGCCACCACACCUGGCUAAUUUUUUGUAUUUUUAGUGGAGACGGGGUUUCACCGUGUUAGCCAGGAGGGUCUCAGUCUCCUGACCUGGUGAUCCGCCCGCCUCGGCCUCCCAAAGUGCUGGGAUUACAGGCAUGAGCCACUGCGCCCGGCCUAAAAAUUUUUUAAAUUGUAUACAUUAUGUUUUUUUACCACAAUUUAAAAAAUUAAUUUAUAAUAUACAUGCAGAAAAAUGCACAAAUGACAAGUAUAUAUCUUGAUGAAUUUUCACAAAUGGAAUACAUUUGUGUAACCAGCAGCAGAUCAAGAAACGGAACAUUGCUAGUGCCCCAGAAGCCACUUGUGUGUUCCCUCUCAGUCACUGCUCUUCUCAAGGACAACCACUCUUCUGACUCCUGAUACCAUAAACUAAUUUUGCCUGUUCUUGCUUUUUAUAUAAAGAGAACCACAGAGUCUGUACUCAUUUGUGUCUGGCUUCCUUUGUUCAAAUUAUUUCUGUGAGAUUCAGCCAUAUUGUGUAUAGUUUUAGUCCCUUCAUUCUGACUACUGUGUAGUAUAAUAUUGUGAGGCUAUAUUGAACCAUAAUUUACUUUUCUAUUCUGUUACUGUUAUUUUGGCUGGAAUCACAUAUUUUUAGAUUAUCUAAAGGAGAAUGUAUGAUAAGAAUCUUCCUAUCUUCCUAUACAUUCAAGUCAUUGGUGCCCCGUCAGUAGAAUUUUAGUUUUCAUUAUGUAGAAUUUACAUACUUCUUAUUAAAAUUAUUCCUAGGUAUUGAGUGCCUUGAUUGCUAUAGCUAUUUUUACUUUAAAAAAAGUUAAAUGGUAGUUCAAAUCCAAGGAAGAAUGUGUCCAGUGUUGCUAUAAAAAUACAGACCUACUUUAUGGGUCCAUCCUCUUCUAGCUCCAGUGAAGGUGGGAUGGGCAAAAAAGAGGAAAUGAAGUCCAAAAAGGGGGUUACACUUUAUAGUUAAACCACAAGAGGAAUUUAUUUCUUUUUUAAGACAGAGUCUUGCUCUGUUGCCAAGGCUUGAGGCAAUAGCAUGAUCUCUACUCACUGCAACCUCCACCUCCCGGGCUCAAGCGAUCCUCCUGCCUCAGCCUCCCAAGUAGCUGAGACUACAGACAUGCACUACCACACCUGGCUAAUUUUUGUCUUUUUAGCAGAGAUGGGGUUUCACCAUGUUGCCCAGGCUGGUCUCCAGCUCCUGGGCUCAAGGCAUCCACCUGCCUUAGCCUCUCAAAGUUCUGGGAUUACAGGAGUGAGUCAGUAUGCUCAGCCUCACAGGAGGAAUUUCUUAAUCAGAGCAGUGAAAAGCCAGGUGGCAUCACUUUUCCUGGAUUUUUUUUUUUUUUUGAGAUGGAGUCUCACUCUAUCAUCCAGGCUGGAGUGCAGUGGCACGAUCUUGGCCCACUGCAACCUCUGCCUCCCGGGUUCAAAUGAUCUUCCUGCCUCAGCCUCCCGAAUAGCUGGGAUUAUAGGUGCACACCACCACACCCGGCUAAUUUUUGUAUUUUUAGUAGAGAUGGGGUCUCACCAUGUUGCCCAGGCUGAUCUUGAACUCCUGAUCUCAGGUGAUCCACCUGCCUCAGCAUCCCAAAGUGCUGGGAUUACAGGUGUGAGCCACUGUGAUCUUAUUUUAAAAUCAGACUGAAUUCUAACUUGCUGGGUAGGGAGGUUGGGGAGCAGAAGAAAUAACUUCGAGUGAGCUGAUGCCAAACUCACCCUCAAGUCACUGUACAUUUGGGAUUUGUCAUCUCAUUUCUCCUCUCAGAUCCCAAAUCAGGAUUGAAAGAUUGAAUUGUGAGAUGCUGGGAUUGAGUGAAUUGUAAUUUCUUUAUUCUCAUCUCCAGUCCUAAGAGUCUAUUCUCUUUCCCUGAAGGGUGUUCUGAACAGGCUGUGGGAGGCAUUAGGUGGAGUGAGUUAAGAUAAGGUCUGGGUUGCCCAGAGGGUUCAGUGAGCGGGUGUUCCCUUUAGUAAACUGAAGCAGGAAAGUAGAUCUUAGCUAGGGAUCUGGGCAGUGAGGGGCUCUCAAACACAAGGAGCCUGGCUCCAGAGCCUUGGCUGCCCACAGAGUUCCCUCCCUGUACAACAUACGAAUGAUUCAUUCAAGUGCUGUUCAGCUGUCUGAGUCUGAAAAACAGCACUCAUCUCUCCUGUUGCCCAUCGUAGGAGUCACCCCCUCCUCCCCACUUAAACCUCUUCACCAGAAACCAGCGACUGGGAGCAGAGCCUUAGUGUCCUCACUUAUGCUGGUGCUACUAUUCAAUCUUUAGGCCAGAUUUAAUUGUGGCAGAUGCCCUAGGAAAGAAUUCUCCUCAGCCUCUCUGACCACCACCACCCAGCUCUAUCUUCCUACUUAAUUCCCCUUACGAAGCAAUUUGGAGGAACAGGACCCAGGAGUCCCUGUUUUCAGAUACUCUCCAGCCUGAGUCACCACCGUACUGACUUCUUACAGCAAGAGUUCCACCCAAAGUCUCUUGCCUCUCCCUCAGAUGGGUGCUGGUGGGAGAAGGGGACAGGGGAGGAGAGAAUGAUGGAGCAUUUUUGUGUGUUUUCUUGCUGGGCCCAUUGUAAUACCUGCUCUUACCUGUGCUAACAUCCACUUUGAAUGGUAGUCCUUCUCAGCCUUUUCUCUUUGCCUCUAAUGGACCCUGGGGAGCAAAGGUGGCCUGAGGCCUCAGAGUUUCCGCUGCAACCUGUGGCUUCUUAUAGCAGAAUUUUUAACCUAUAUUCUGUGGAGUCUGUGAUGGCUUCAGAAUAACUGGAUAAUUUACAAACAUUUUUGUUCAUAGCUUGCAUCAGGGAUUCUCAGAGGGAUCUGUGACUCAAAAAAGUUGAGGAUCAUUGCUUAGCCGGGCUCUCAUCUCCUGAAUCAGAGAUCCAGCACAGCACAGGAAAUAGAAGUCAGAAAUAGAGAAAGAUUAUAUCGGGGACGGAAAUGUGAAGUGCUGAGAUGGUGCCACAGCAUCUUUGGGUCCAGAGUUCUCCCUCAGCUUAGGUCGUGUCCUGCAACUGAAAGGCCCUGGGAGAGAGAGCCCUGAGGGCGUGGCAGUGAGGAUGGCAGUGUGGUGGAAAGGGGGAGUUUUCAAUCAGACAGCCAUGAGCUCAAAUAGCUAGUUACUAUUUACUAACUAGCUCUGUGCACUUGAGCACUUACUCUAUUUGACCUUUAGUUUCACCAGCUAAGAUGCCUCCCUACUUUAUAGGGUUGAUGUAAGGAUUAAAUAAGAAAAUAUAUAUAAAGCCACUGACAUAGAAUAGGCCCUCAAUAAAUGUUAUUUUCUUCUCUUUGAACUGCUGUCCCACCCUGGGCAGAGCCUCCAUUAGAUUGUCCCCAUGAUGUGGUACCAUACAUCCCUGCACAUGGGCCACAAAACUUCUGCAUACACACCACCCACUCAUGUCCUUGGCUGCAUUUGCACACUCAUCAGCACACACACAGCAGCCUGUGCCAUCACAGCUGAGUUGAGGGCAGUCUUCCCAACAGGUAAGAUGAGGGACUGGCAUGCUAAUGCUUGGACAAGCUGUGGAAGUGCUCAUCAUAGUAAGCUUGUUACCUGAAUGGGCUUCACCCCUCAAAAGUGUUCUGGUAAAGCUGUGAAAGGAGACUAAGGGGCUGUGGUGGGACUAACUCCAUAGGCAUUUCCUUGAGAUUAAAUGUGUUUCUUGAGGGAUACUUUGUCCACCCACCACUGCCAAGGAGACCUUAGUCUAUGCCCCGGGUUGCAAUGUCUGAAGCUUUGCUGUCCAAAACGGUAGCCAUUGGCCACAUGUGGCUAUUGAAUGCUUGUAAAGGUAGGUGGUACAGCUGAGGAAUGGAAUUUUAAAUUUAUUUAAUUUAAAAUUUAAGACAGAGAUUCAAUUCAGUUAUUGGAAAAUGUUUUAUGUUUGAAAAAACUUAGAUGUGUGAAUCCACUUUCUCAACAGUGACCUGUAUGAAAUAUAGAUUUUUCUGGUGAAAAUUUAGUAACUGAAUUGCGAUGUUGAGAUGUACUGUAAGUGUAAAACAUA
Molecule: RNA transcript, 4199 nt
Organism: Gorilla gorilla gorilla (western lowland gorilla)
Lineage: Eukaryota; Metazoa; Chordata; Mammalia; Primates; Hominidae
Exons: 3
Source: RefSeq, a predicted model, not a curated record